Molecule: unclassified non-coding RNA, 148 nt
Organism: Macaca mulatta (Rhesus monkey)
Lineage: Eukaryota; Metazoa; Chordata; Mammalia; Primates; Cercopithecidae
Rfam family: Metazoan signal recognition particle RNA
About the family: The signal recognition particle (SRP) is a universally conserved ribonucleoprotein. It is involved in the co-translational targeting of proteins to membranes.
Source: Ensembl
GCCAGGCAUGGUGGCGCAUGCCUGUCGUUCUUGCUACUCAGGAGGCUGAGGCCAGAGGAUUGCUAGAACCCAGGAGUUUGAGGUUACAGUGAGCCAUGAUCGUGCCACUGUGAUCCAGCCUGGGUAACACAGCAAGACCCUGUCUCAA